Non-coding RNA from Gossypium arboreum, 145 nucleotides. The record is from Rfam. Lineage: Eukaryota; Viridiplantae; Streptophyta; Magnoliopsida; Malvales; Malvaceae.
AGUUAAAAUUUUCAUUCAUUUGUAUUAUUAAAAACUAACGUAGCUGAUGGAAUAAUCACAUAGUAAUAUGUGGUGUGCUACGUGCAUCUCAUAAUGACAUAUAAUGAAUAAAUUUUAACAAUAUAAAUGGAUGGAAUUUUUAACA